AGCGAACGCUGGCGGCGUGCCUAACACAUGCAAGUCGAACGUGAACGGGGGCAACUCCUAGUAAAGUGGCGUACGGGUGAGUAACACGUAGGUAAUCUACCCCAGAGUCUGGAAUAACCUGCCGAAAGGCGGGCUAAUACUAGAUAGAGCGACGGAAUCCGUAAUUGGGUUUUUCGGGAAAGGGAGGGAGCAAUCCCCCUCACUCUGGGAUGAGCCUGCGUCCCAUCAGCUAGCUGGUGAGGUAACGGCUCACCAAGGCAAUGACGGGUAGCUGGUCUGAGAGGAUGAUCAGCCACACUGGAACUGAAACACGGUCCAGACUCCUACGGGAGGCAGCAGUGGGGAAUCUUGCGCAAUGGACGAAAGUCUGACGCAGCCACGCCGCGUGAGUGAAGAAGGCCUUCGGGUUGUAAAGCUCUGUCGAGCGGGACGAACAUGCUUGGAGUGAAUAGCUUCAGGCACUGACGGUACCGCUAAAGGAAGCACCGGCUAACUCCGUGC
RNAcentral lists this ribosomal RNA (501 nucleotides) under uncultured bacterium. RNAcentral describes it as "bacterial SSU rRNA". It matches the Rfam family "Bacterial small subunit ribosomal RNA", at positions 29 to 508 of the family's 1533-position model. The record is from RNAcentral.